Molecule: long non-coding RNA, 247 nt
Filed under: Amborella trichopoda
Lineage: Eukaryota; Viridiplantae; Streptophyta; Magnoliopsida; Amborellales; Amborellaceae
Description: long non-coding RNA (ATRI_LNC002233)
Source: RNAcentral
UUAAUCUCUCUCCAUUAAGCAUUUCCCGUUGAUCUUCCAAAGCCCGUAAUACGGAAAUUAUAUGUUAUUUUAGCCAAUGUUUGAAAAUCCGGUUCAGCGAGCUCAACCAUGAGGAACUCGUACGUCCGAGUCAAAUGAACUGAUUGGCGAGUUAGAUUCAUCACGAUUGACUCGGACAACAAAAAACCAAACAAGUAAUAAGAUGAUAAAAAUCAAAACCUAGAAUUGGAUUUAUCUUGGAGAAGCU